Molecule: ribosomal RNA, 909 nt
Filed under: uncultured bacterium
Lineage: Bacteria
Also listed under: 1 other name
Description: bacterial SSU rRNA
Rfam family: Bacterial small subunit ribosomal RNA
Source: RNAcentral
GAUCCAGACUUUGAUUAUGGCUCAGGAUGAACGCUAGCUACAGGCUUAACACAUGCAAGUCGAGGGGAAACGACAUCGAAAGCUUGCUUUUGAUGGGCGUCGACCGGCGCACGGGUGAGUAACGCGUAUCCAACCUGCCCACCACUUGGGGAUAACCUUGCGAAAGUAAGACUAAUACCCAAUGAUAUCUCUAGAAGACAUCUGAAAGAGAUUAAAGAUUUAUCGGUGAUGGAUGGGGAUGCGUCUGAUUAGCUUGUUGGCGGGGUAACGGCCCACCAAGGCGACGAUCAGUAGGGGUUCUGAGAGGAAGGUCCCCCACAUUGGAACUGAGACACGGUCCAAACUCCUACGGGAGGCAGCAGUGAGGAAUAUUGGUCAAUGGACGAGAGUCUGAACCAGCCAAGUAGCGUGCAGGAAGACGGCCCUAUGGGUUGUAAACUGCUUUUAUAAGGGAAUAAAGUGAGUCUCGUGAGACUUUUUGCAUGUACCUUAUGAAUAAGGACCGGCUAAUUCCGUGCCAGCAGCCGCGGUAAUACGGAAGGUCCGGGCGUUAUCCGGAUUUAUUGGGUUUAAAGGGAGCGUAGGCCGGAGAUUAAGCGUGUUGUGAAAUGUAGACGCUCAACGUCUGCACUGCAGCGCGAACUGGUUUCCUUGAGUACGCACAAAGUGGGCGGAAUUCGUGGUGUAGCGGUGAAAUGCUUAGAUAUCACGAAGAACUCCGAUUGCGAAGGCAGCUCACUGGAGCGCAACUGACGCUGAAGCUCGAAAGUGCGGGUAUCGAACAGGAUUAGAUACCCUGGUAGUCCGCACGGUAAACGAUGGAUGCCCGCUGUUGGUCUGCACAGGUCAGCGGCCAAGCGAAAGCAUUAAGCAUCCCACCUGGGGAGUACGCCGGCAACGGUGCAACUC